AGAGUUUGAUCCUGGCUCAGGAUAAACGCUGGCGGCGUGCCUUAUGCAUGCAAGUCGAACGGUUUCGAUUUAUCGGGAUAGUGGCGAACGGGUGAGUAACGCGUAAGUAACCUGCCCUCAAGUAGGGGAUAACUUUGAGAAAUUGGAGCUAAUACCUUAUGUGGUGAUAGAGUUAAUGCUUCAUCAUUAAAGCCUUAGGGUGCUUGGGGAGGGGCUUGCGUCCGAUUAGCUAGUUGGUAGGGUAAUGGCUUACCAAGGCGAUGAUCGGUAGCUGGUUUGAGAGGACGAUCAGCCACACUGGGAUUGAGAUACGGCCCAGACUCCUACGGGAGGCAGCAGCAAGGAAUAUUGUGCAAUGGGCGAAAGCCUGACACAGCGACGCUGCGUGGGGGAAUAAGGCCUUCGGGUUGUAACCCCUUUUCUCAGGGAGGAAUAAUGACAGUACCUGAGGAAUAAGCCACGGCUAACUACGUGCCAGCAGCCGCGGUAAAGCGUAGAUGGGCGAGCGUUAUCCGGGAUUUAUUGGGCGUAAAGAGGGCGCACGCGGCUUUGCAAGUCACGUGUAAAAUCUCCCAGCUUAAACUGGGAGGGACCAUUUGAUACUGNUAANGCUAGAGACCACCAGGGGGGAGGUAGAAUUCCCGUGCAGUGUGAAAUGCGUAGAUAUCGGGAGGAAUACUAGUGGCGAAGGCGGCUCCUGGGUUGUUACUGACGCUGAUGCCCGUAAGCGUGGGGAGCAAACCAGGAUUAGAUACCCUGGUAGUCACGCCGUAAACUAUGGACACUGGGUAUGGGGAGUAUCGACCCUCUUCGUGCCGAAGCUAACGCGUUAAGUGUCCCGCCUGGGAACUACGGCCGCAAGGCUAAAACUCAAAGGAAUUGACGGGGGCCCGCACAAGCAGCGGAGCGUGUGGUUUAAUUCGAUGCAACGCGAAGAACCUUACCAAGGCUUGACGUGUCGGAAGUAGUAACCCGAAAGGGGAACCACCUGUUAAGUCAGGAGCCGAUACAGGUGCUGCAUGGCUGUCGUCAGCUCGUGCCGUGAGGUGCUCGGUUAAGUCCAGUAACGAGCGCAACCCUCGUUGCCAGUUGUAUUCUCUGGCGAGACUGCCCCACAAAACGGGGAGGAAGGUGGGGAUGACGUCAAGUCAGCACGGCCCUUAUGUCUUGGGCUACACACACGCUACAAUGGGUGGUACAGCAGGUAGCAAUGGAGUGAUUCGGAGCUAAUCCUAUAAAACCAUCCUCAGUUCGGAUUGCAGGCUGAAACUCGCCUGCAUGAAGUCGGAGUUGCUAGUAACCGCAGGUCAGCACACUGCGGUGAAUACGUUCCCGGGCCUUGUACACACCGCCCGUCACGUCAUGAAAGUUGACAACACCUGAAGUCGAUAGGCUAACCCCGGUUUUCGGGGAGGCAGUCGCCGAGGGUGGGGUUGAUGAUUGGGACGAAGUCGUAACAAGGUAACC
RNAcentral lists this ribosomal RNA (1467 nucleotides) under uncultured Chloroflexota bacterium. RNAcentral's name for it is "bacterial SSU rRNA". It matches the Rfam family "Bacterial small subunit ribosomal RNA". The record is from RNAcentral. Lineage: Bacteria; Bacillati; Chloroflexota.